RNAcentral lists this transfer RNA (72 nucleotides) under Culex quinquefasciatus (southern house mosquito). RNAcentral's name for it is "tRNA-Thr". Lineage: Eukaryota; Metazoa; Arthropoda; Insecta; Diptera; Culicidae. The record is from RNAcentral.
GGUGCGUGGCCGAAUGGUUACGCUGUCCGCUUUGUAAGCGGAUGAUUCAGGGUUCGAUUCCCAUCUGCUCCA